This 479-nucleotide ribosomal RNA is filed under the name Klebsiella variicola. Its description in RNAcentral is "bacterial SSU rRNA". It matches the Rfam family "Bacterial small subunit ribosomal RNA", at positions 1054 to 1533 of the family's 1533-position model. The record is from RNAcentral. Lineage: Bacteria; Pseudomonadati; Pseudomonadota; Gammaproteobacteria; Enterobacterales; Enterobacteriaceae.
GUCAGCUCGUGUUGUGAAAUGUUGGGUUAAGUCCCGCAACGAGCGCAACCCUUAUCCUUUGUUGCCAGCGGUUAGGCCGGGAACUCAAAGGAGACUGCCAGUGAUAAACUGGAGGAAGGUGGGGAUGACGUCAAGUCAUCAUGGCCCUUACGACCAGGGCUACACACGUGCUACAAUGGCAUAUACAAAGAGAAGCGACCUCGCGAGAGCAAGCGGACCUCAUAAAGUAUGUCGUAGUCCGGAUUGGAGUCUGCAACUCGACUCCAUGAAGUCGGAAUCGCUAGUAAUCGUAGAUCAGAAUGCUACGGUGAAUACGUUCCCGGGCCUUGUACACACCGCCCGUCACACCAUGGGAGUGGGUUGCAAAAGAAGUAGGUAGCUUAACCUUCGGGAGGGCGCUUACCACUUUGUGAUUCAUGACUGGGGUGAAGUCGUAACAAGGUAACCGUAGGGGAACCUGCGGUUGGAUCACCUCCUUA